This 433-nucleotide ribosomal RNA is filed under the name uncultured bacterium. RNAcentral's name for it is "partial 16S ribosomal RNA". It matches the Rfam family "Bacterial small subunit ribosomal RNA", at positions 29 to 507 of the family's 1533-position model. The record is from RNAcentral.
AACGAACGCUGGCGGCAUGCCUAACACAUGCGAGUCGAACGAGACCUUCGGGUCUAGUGGCGCACGGGUGCGUAACGCGUGGGAACCUGCCCUUAGGUUCGGAAUAACUCCCCGAAAGGGGUGCUAAUACCGGAUAAUGUCUUCGGACCAAAGAUUUAUCGCCUUUGGAUGGGCCAGCGUUGGAUUAGCUAGUUGGUAGGGUAAAAGCCUACCAAGGCGACGAUCCAUAGCUGGUCUGAGAGGAUGAUCAGCCACACUGGGACUGAGACACGGCCCAGACUCCUACGGGAGGCAGCAGUGGGGAAUAUUGGACAAUGGGCGAAAGCCUGAUCCAGCAAUGCCGCGUGAGUGAUGAAGGCCUUAGGGUUGUAAAGCUCUUUUACCCGGGAUGAUAAUGACAGUACCGGGAGAAUAAGCUCCGGCUAACUCCGUG